CUUUAAGCAUACGUCUGUCGUCGGGAGGAGCAAACUCUGCUAAUGCCCGCAGCGUUCACUUCGUCGGAGGCUGCCCUACUGCUUUGUGUGACGCUAAGUCGGAAUGAGCUCCGACAUUCAACCUCGGCUAACUUACCAAAAACUAAACUCAAAUCAUAGGCAUCUCUGCCACGAGAGCAGAUGACGAAGUUUAAGGAACACAAACAAAGACGGUCGGAAUGUACAGAGGCUAUUGGAUCUCCAAUAGACGGCUGAGAGCCCGGAUCUGACGCAGACAGCCGAGAGCUCCGAACCGAAGCAGCCAGCUGACAACUACUCACAAUCAGAGGGCAUCAGUGGGAAUGAGACAUUAAAUGAUCAAGGCUAUGCAGAUGCCGGAUGCCAGACUGAGCUGAUGCUGGAUGACAUUGAGAAGAUGAAGGAUGUUCUGAGACAUAACACAACAGAGCUGAGAGAUCUUUGGACCAAACCACAAAGAUGACAAAGUUCUACACAGGGCUGCCCAACUUCUUAGUUUUAAUUCAGAUUUUUUAGCUGUGCGAACCCUUCAUCACAUGUGGUCGUAUGUCUGUGCUGUCUAAAUUUGAAUAGUUCAUUUUAGUUUGCUAAAUAAAUGUAAGAGCUGUCCAAAUUGAAAAUGACCUUCACUGACAUCUUAAAACACAUCAGUGCCCUUUGUUUUGCUUCAAAAUGCACACAAGUAAUGUUUUUAGUAAGGCAUGUUUGUUAAAACUAGUUAUAUUUCAUAAUUAAAAACUAAGGCCUAGUCCUGGCUGAAAGAUUUAGCUUGAAGAUUUAUAAAUGCCUGUUAUUUGCUGUGUCUUGUCUAAUCUUUGGGAGUCUGUCAUCCCAUUAGAGCAGUAAUUCUCAAAGUGUGGUCCGCGGACCACUAGUGGUCCGCCAAACCCCCCUAGUGGUCCGCCAAAAGAUGACCUAAAUUAGGCAAGUGUUUAUACCAGGGCUAUUCAAUUGGCGGCCCGCGGGUCAGACCCGGCCCCCAAGGUAAUUUGAUCCGUCCCUUUAUGUAGUCUGUAAAAAAGACAUCUCUAGAAUAAAUUUAGUAAGUUAGACAACGGGCCCUACAGUUACGAGUUGAUGCGCGUGCGUCUGUUUCAUACAGCAUGAGCUGCAGAGCGCGAGUCACGUGACUGGUGCGAGCAGCUGUGUCACGUGUUUAUAUUCGCGCUUUGGUCCACAAGUUCAACGCGAUCACCUCCCCCCCUCGCGCCCGCUUCUCAAGACGCGAUAGCUGACUGUGGUGAGUUAAGAGACCGGACUCUAUGGCUGUUUUAACUUUAUUGGUUGUAUUUCCAGCUUUAAAACACUGCCUUUUCCGACAAUUGUUGUCUGAUAAGUCUGCUCAAUUAUGACUUGCUUAUCAACAAUGACAUUUACGUUACAUGUCUUAAUAAAUGAAACUGCCGUUUUUCCAAAAUUCAAAGCAUCGUUCUCACACAAUAAUGCAAUUUAAACGAGUAAUGCGGCUUUCACAUAGGAUGCGGUGUGCGCUGCACUCGCCGCUGGGUUCGGCGCAGCCAAGCGAUUGUGCUCUGAUGGCCAGACCAAAGUAGGCGGGGUUUUCAAUAAAUUACUACAGUGUUUAUAUUUACGUUAAAUAGUCGACGAGGAAUACAGAGACUGAUGUUGCUCAUCUCCAUUUCACGUAACUUUAAGCAUACCUACAACAAGCUGCUUGACUUAAACCACACCUAACAUGUCAACUUGAAUUGCUUACGUGUUUCCAUGACACGGCUUUCCUUCCGAUGUCUCUGUAGGAGCAUAAACUUGUAUUAUAAAGCUCUGAGAAUCCCGAGUAUAAGCUUUCGUCCAUUUUGCUUGUUUGGA
Molecule: long non-coding RNA, 1845 nt
Organism: Paramisgurnus dabryanus
Lineage: Eukaryota; Metazoa; Chordata; Actinopteri; Cypriniformes; Cobitidae
Source: RefSeq, a predicted model, not a curated record